Molecule: ribosomal RNA, 608 nt
Filed under: Photobacterium phosphoreum
Lineage: Bacteria; Pseudomonadati; Pseudomonadota; Gammaproteobacteria; Vibrionales; Vibrionaceae
Description: bacterial SSU rRNA
Rfam family: Bacterial small subunit ribosomal RNA
Source: RNAcentral
UUAAUUGAAGAGUUUGAUCAUGGCUCAGAUUGAACGCUGGCGGCAGGCCUAACACAUGCAAGUCGAGCGGUAACAGAAAGAAAGCUUGCUUUCUUUGCUGACGAGCGGCGGACGGGUGAGUAAUGCCUGGGAAUAUACCCUGAUGUGGGGGAUAACUAUUGGAAACGAUAGCUAAUACCGCAUAAUCUCUUCGGAGCAAAGAGGGGGACCUUCGGGCCUCUCGCGUCAGGAUUAGCCCAGGUGGGAUUAGCUAGUUGGUGGGGUAAUGGCUCACCAAGGCGACGAUCCCUAGCUGGUCUGAGAGGAUGAUCAGCCACACUGGAACUGAGACACGGUCCAGACUCCUACGGGAGGCAGCAGUGGGGAAUAUUGCACAAUGGGGGAAACCCUGAUGCAGCCAUGCCGCGUGUAUGAAGAAGGCCUUCGGGUUGUAAAGUACUUUCAGUUGUGAGGAAGGCGUUGGAGUUAAUAGCUUCAGCGCUUGACGUUAGCAACAGAAGAAGCACCGGCUAACUCCGUGCCAGCAGCCGCGGUAAUACGGAGGGUGCGAGCGUUAAUCGGAAUUACUGGGCGUAAAGCGCAUGCAGGCGGUCUGUUAAGCAAGAUGU